AAUCAAGUAAGCUAAAAAAGCUAUUGGGUUCAUACCCCAUUGAUGGACUGUAAACCCUUGAUUA
Molecule: transfer RNA, 64 nt
Filed under: unidentified
Description: Cupuladria biporosa tRNA-Met
Source: RNAcentral